AUAAGAAAAGAAGAGCGUAUGGAGGAUGCCUAGGCACAAUGAGGCGAAGAAGGACGCAGCAAACGGCGAAACGCAGCGGCGAGUGGUAAGCACACGCAAGAGCCGCUGAUAUCCGAAUGGGGGAACCCACUAUCUACGAGAUAGUAUCCAUGCAUGAAUACAUAAUGCAUAGGAAGCAAGACGCAGGGAACUGAAACAUCUAAGUACCUGUAGGAGAAGAAAAUAAAGAAUGAUUUCCUGAGUAGUGGCGAGCGAAAGGGAAGGAGCCCAAACCAAGAGUUAUCUUGGGGUUAUAGGACAGUCAAGAAAGGCAAGACACUUUACAGAAGAAAUACAUGGGAAGGUAUGCGAGACAGGGUGAGAGCCCCGUAUUCGAAGUAGAGCGAAGCCAAGACUGAUCCUGAGUACGGCGGGACACGAGAAAUCCUGUCGGAAGGAUCGAGGACCAUCUCGAAAGGCUAAAUACUCCAUUGUGACCGAUAGUGAACCAGUACCGUGAGGGAAAGGUGAAAAGAACCCCGGGAGGGGAGUGAAAGAGAACCUGAAACCAUAUGCUUACAAGAAGUCAGAGCCCGUUAAGGGGUGAUGGCGUGCCUUUUGUAGAAUGAACCGGCGAGUUAUGAUAGUCAGCGAGGUUAAGCAGGAGAUGCGGAGCCGAAGCGAAAGCGAGUCUGAAAAGGGCGAAUAGUUGGAUGUCAUAGACCCGAAACCGAGUGAUCUAGCCAUGACCAGGUUGAAGUUGGGGUAAAACCCGAUGGAGGACCGAACCGACCCCCGUUGAAACGUUGGCGGAUGAGUUGUGGCUAGGGGUGAAAUUCCAAACGAACUCGGAGAUAGCUGGUUCUCCCCGAAAUAGCUUUAGGGCUAGCGUCAGGGUAAAGUAGCGUGAAGGUAGAGCACUGAAUAUGUGAUGGCCCCAUCCCGGGGUACUGAACAUAAUCAAACUCCGAAUGUCACGAAAACAUACCUGGCAGUCAGACAGUGGGUGAUAAGGUCCAUUGUCAAAAGGGAAACAGCCCAGACCAUCAGCUAAGGUCCCAAAAUUAUUGCUAAGUGGAAAAGGAUGUGGAGAUGUCCAGACAACUAGGAGGUUGGCUCAGAAGCAGCCACCCUUUAAAGAGUGCGUAACAGCUCACUAGUCGAAUGACUCUGCGCCGAAAAUUUACCGGGGCUAAGCAAUAUACCGAAGCUAUGGAUUGACAUUGAAAAAUGUGAGUGGUAGGGGAGCGUUCUAUCAUCGGAGAAGCAUGAUCGUAAGGACAUGUGGAGAGGAUAGAAGAGAGAAUGCCGGUGUGAGUAGCGGAACGUGGGUGAGAAUCCCACGCACCGAAAACCCAAGGUUUCCAGAGGAAGGUUCGUCCGCUCUGGGUAAGUCGGGACCUAAGGCGAGGCCGAAAGGCGUAGUCGAUGGACAACAGGUGGAGAUUCCUGUACCUAAUAAAGAGUGAUGGAGUGACGGAGAAGGCUAGACAGGUCCGGCGGAUGGAAGAGCCGGAGCAAGCGGGAUAUCUGGUGUGUAGAAAAAUGCGCAUACCGCAAGGAGAAGACGUGAAGCGUAUGGAAAGGGGCGACCCAAGUACAGAAGCUGUCGAAGCAAGCUUCCAAGAAAAGCUUCUAGCAAAUUUUUAUUAGCCCGUACCGAUAAUGGACACACAUGGGUGAGGAGAGAAUCCUAAGGUGAGCGAGAGAACUAUGGCCAAGGAACUCUGCAAAAUGACUCCGUAACUUCGGGAGAAGGAGUGCUUAUGAAAAUAAGCCGCAGUAAAACGGCCCAAGCGACUGUUUAUCAAAAACACAGCUCUAUGCGAAGCCGCAAGGCGAAGUAUAUGGGGUGACGCCUGCCCGGUGCUGGAAGGUUAAGAGGAGUUGUAAGAUCGUAAGGUCGAAGCAAUGAAUUGAAGCCCCAGUAAACGGCGGCCGUAACUAUAACGGUCCUAAGGUAGCGAAAUUCCUUGUCAGGUAAGUUCUGACCCGCACGAAAGGCGUAACGAUUUGGGCGCUGUCUCGGCUGUAGACUCGGUGAAAUCUUAGUACCUGUGAAGAUGCAGGUUACCCGCGACUAGACGGAAAGACCCCAUGGAGCUUUACUGUAGCUUGAUAUUGGACUUUGAUGAAGGAUGUACAGAAUAGGUAGGAGACAGGGAUACAUGCACGCCAGUGUGUGAGGAGUCGACGUUGGGAUACUACCCUUCCUUGAUUGGGGUUCUAACCGGAUGCUUUGAAGCAAGCAACGGGACAGUGUCAGGUGGGCAGUUUGACUGGGGCGGUCGCCUCCCAAAGAGUAACGGAGGCGCCCAAAGAUACCCUCAGCUUGGAUGGAAAUCAAGCGCAGAGUGCAAAGGCAAAAGGGUGUUUGACUGCGAGACAGACAAGUCGAGCAGGGACGAAAGUCGGGCUUAGUGAUCCGGCGGUACCGAAUGGAAGGGCCGUCGCUCAACGGAUAAAAGCUACCCUGGGGAUAACAGGCUGAUCUCCCCCAAGAGUUCACAUCGACGGGGAGGUUUGGCACCUCGAUGUCGGCUCAUCGCAUCCUGGAGCUGAAGUCGGUUCCAAGGGUUGGGCUGUUCGCCCAUUAAAGCGGUACGCGAGCUGGGUUCAGAACGUCGUGAGACAGUUCGGUCCCUAUCUGUCGUGGGCGCAGGAAGUUUGAGAAGAGCUGUCCUUAGUACGAGAGGACCGGGAUGGACACACCAAUGGUGGACCAGUUGUCACGCCAGUGGCACAGCUGGGUAGCUAAGUGUGGCAGGAAUAAACGCUGAAGGCAUCUAAGCGUGAAAUCCCCUUCAAGAUGAGACUUCCGGACGCAAGUUGGAAGACCCCUUAAAGACGAUAAGGUAGAUAGGUCAGGAGUGGAAGUAUAGUGAUAUAUGGAGCGGACUGAUACUAAUAGGUCGAGAACUUAACCU
This 2906-nucleotide ribosomal RNA is filed under the name Beduini massiliensis. Its description in RNAcentral is "bacterial LSU rRNA". It matches the Rfam family "Bacterial large subunit ribosomal RNA". The record is from RNAcentral. Lineage: Bacteria; Bacillati; Bacillota; Erysipelotrichia; Erysipelotrichales; Erysipelotrichaceae.